GCGCAGCAGGCGAGAAAACUUCACAAUGUGCGAAAGCACGAUGAGGGAAUCCCAAGUGCUUGCACGUAAGUGUAAGCUGUUUCUCUGUCUAAAACGCAGAGAGAGUAAGGGCUGGGUAAGGCGGGUGCCAGCCGCCGCGGUAAUACCUGCAGCUCGAGUGGUGACCGUUAUUAUUGGGCCUAAAACGUCCGUAGCCGGUUUAAUAAAUGCCUGGGUAAAUCGGACCGCUUAACGGUUCGAAUUCCGGGUAGACUGUUAAACUUGAGACCGGGAGAAGUUAGAGGUACUCCUGGGGUAGAGGUGAAAUUCUGUAAUCCUAGGGGGACCACCAGUGGCGAAGGCGUCUAACUAGAACGGGUCUGACGGUGAGGGACGAAGCCCUGGGGCGCAAACGGGAUUAGAUACCCGC
This 409-nucleotide ribosomal RNA is filed under the name uncultured microorganism. RNAcentral's name for it is "bacterial SSU rRNA". It matches the Rfam family "Archaeal small subunit ribosomal RNA", at positions 330 to 741 of the family's 1478-position model. The record is from RNAcentral.